Pocillopora damicornis (cauliflower coral) is the source of this 218-nucleotide long non-coding RNA. NCBI's taxonomy places the organism in Eukaryota, Metazoa, Cnidaria, Anthozoa, Scleractinia, Pocilloporidae. The record is from RefSeq and is a predicted model, not a curated record.
AGACUUCAAGUCCUGUAAAGAUGCAUACAAUUCAUACAAGUCGAACGCCAGCGAGUUGGUUACCUUACACUUUGGCUCAAAUACAACUUCCGUUCUCUGUCAAAUGGGAGAUUUUGGAUGUGGAGAUGGUGGAUGGACACCAGUUAUGAAGAUUGAUGGCAACAAGAACACUUUUCGGUUCAGUUCGGGAUACUGGACUGACAAAAGCGAAUACAACC